UAAACUAGGAUUAGAUACCCUAUUAUUAGGAAUGUAAAUUUAAAAAACUAAAUUAGUAUUAGUUAUGUUCUUGAAAAUUAAAAAAUUUGGCGGUAUUUUAGUCUUUUCAGAGGAAUCUGUCCUGUAAUUGAUAAUCCACGAUUAGAAAUACUUUAUUUAUUAGUUUGCAUAUCGUCGUAGUUAAAUAUUUUAAUAGAAUUAUAAAUAUUUGAAAUUUUAAGUUAAAAAGUAAAUCAGAUCAAGGUGUAGUUUAUAAUAAAGAAGAGAUGGGUUACAUUAAAUUUAUUUAAGGAUAAUUUUUAUUAUAGAAAUUUGAAUAUGGAUUUGAGAGUAAUUUUAAAGUUUUAUUAAAAUGAUUUUAGCUCUAAAAUAUGCACACAUCGCCCGUCGCUCUUAA
This 397-nucleotide ribosomal RNA is filed under the name Acanthoscelides desmodicola. RNAcentral's name for it is "partial 12S small subunit ribosomal RNA". The record is from RNAcentral. Lineage: Eukaryota; Metazoa; Arthropoda; Insecta; Coleoptera; Chrysomelidae.